AAAGUCGUAACAAGGUUUCCGUAGGUGAACCUGCGGAAGGAUCAUUAACUCAUGAUUUAAUCGUCAUGUUUUAAACAAACACAUUAAACUAAACUAAACACUCCGUGAACUAUAUAACCAAAUCGAAAUAUGGGUAGUUGAAGGUUCGUGCUGGCAACAGUAUGUUCAAUCGCUAUUCAUGUUAUAACCAAUUAUAUUUUUAACCAAAUAUUAACCAAACUUUUACCGUACAUGCCUGUGUUCAUCGAGUUAUUUACGAUGGGCAACUGGGUCUGACUGAACUAAAACUUCAUUAUCCUAACGGAGGUGAUUUUAAUAAAUAACAAAUAUAUACAACUCUUAACAAUGGAUAUCUUGGCUCUC
Molecule: unclassified non-coding RNA, 363 nt
Filed under: Basidiomycota sp.
Lineage: Eukaryota; Fungi; Basidiomycota
Description: partial contains small subunit ribosomal RNA, internal transcribed spacer 1, and 5.8S ribosomal RNA
Rfam family: Eukaryotic small subunit ribosomal RNA (bases 1-47)
Source: RNAcentral